This 253-nucleotide ribosomal RNA is filed under the name uncultured bacterium. Its description in RNAcentral is "partial 16S ribosomal RNA". It matches the Rfam family "Bacterial small subunit ribosomal RNA", at positions 524 to 776 of the family's 1533-position model. The record is from RNAcentral.
GACGAACCGAGCGAACGUUGUUCGGAAUCACUGGGCUUAAAGGGCGCGUAGGCGGGUGCUCAAGUCCGUGGUGAAAUCCUCCGGCUCAACCGGAGAACUGCCUCGGAUACUGGGUGCCUCGAGGGUGGUAGGGGUAUGCGGAACUAUCGGUGGAGCGGUGAAAUGCGUUGAUAUCGAUAGGAACUCCGGUGGCGAAGGCGGGUCUCUGGGCCGAAAUUGACGCUGAGGAGCGAAAGCGUGGGGAGCAAACAGG